ACGGCCAUAUCAUGUUGAAACAUCGGUUCACGUACGAUCACCGAAGUUAAACAAUAUCGUGUCUGGUAAGCACCUAGAAGGGUGACCGCUUGGGAAUACCAGGUGUUGUAAG
Molecule: non-coding RNA, 112 nt
Organism: Acanthosepion pharaonis
Lineage: Eukaryota; Metazoa; Mollusca; Cephalopoda; Sepiida; Sepiidae
Source: the annotation of a GenBank genome assembly